GAAACCCCAAGCUCUUCGACGCAGGUUUAGGGUUUCUCGACGAGUCUCAUGAAGAAAUCCCCUCGUUAUUUAUUUUUUUAUUGUCGUUGCAUGCGCUGCAUGGGCGCUGCUGCAUUAGAAUCGGCGGCAGGAUUUUCACGGCGUCUGUUGGAAUGGUGACACUAUGCUACGGCGAUCUGAAAGGGGGUUGAGGUUUGGACGGAAAUUGCACAUCAUUCAUUGUCUGCAGCUCAUCCUUGUUUGCCUUGGAUCUCCGCGAGGAAGGCAUUUUUUUUUCUUCUUGAGAACAGAUUAGGAGCUUUGAGAUCCAACUGGAAAGGAAAGGAGGCCAUGGUUUUGGUAGGGUUUGUGGAGUGAAGUUUGGACUGGAGUGGUGAAGGACGGGGAAGGGGAGAGCGAGGUAUCGCGAAGAAGGGAGGCUUGGUGUGCUGCUGAAGCUAUCUGCUAUCAUAUGCAGACCUAUCAUUUGUGUUGUGCUUUGUUUAAUUUCAUUUUUCAUUAGAGACAGCAUAUUGUGUUUCGAUGGUGUAAAGUACGACUCAACCUAUUCGGAAUCGUCCAGCUUCUUCAUAUCGUAUAUUUUCUUUGCAAAGAAUUCCAUGGAUUCUGAGACUGCGUAGGAAAGAGCCUAUCAGCAUCAUCAAAAUGACAGUUUUUCCUUCAUUAUUAAUCCACGGGUUGUUUCCUGAGCUUGUACAUCCUAUAGUGUGUAGUUGUCAUCUGGGCUUCUGAAUCUAUACUUAGCUCAAUAAAUGUGAAGAGGCUGGAUUUCAUAAUUCAAAUUAUUCUUUGUCGUUUCGAA
Non-coding RNA from Physcomitrium patens, 802 nucleotides. The record is from RefSeq and is a predicted model, not a curated record. Lineage: Eukaryota; Viridiplantae; Streptophyta; Bryopsida; Funariales; Funariaceae.